UCCACUCCCACUCCCACACGGCCACGAGCACCACCAGUAUAGGCCGCUCGCUGUACCUGCACCGGGCAAGGGAAGCGAGCGAGAAGCAUCGCUGCUUAUUCCUUGCUUCCUCCUCACGUACACUGUCCUUUUGUUGGGGAAAUUAAUCUAUACCUUGGAGGCAGUGAUACAAAGAGGAUAAGGAAGAAAAAGGCUUAGAAACCAAGUGCAGAACAAAUUAUUAUAUAGCUAGGAGGCAGUGAUACAAGUACAAGAACAACAGGAAUAAGGGAAAAAAGGAUUAGAAACCAAGAUUGACGAUGAUAGCAUGGAAAUUGAGCAGACACAGUAUCCAGCUUCAUCAGAUACAACUACAAGUAAGAGACCCUAUGUAUCUACAACAGCAGUCACAGGAUGACCAAAAUGAAGAUGACUCGGGAAACAAAAUCAGCAAGAAGAGCUCUGGUCACAACAAAAAGCCUAAGCAGCA
Molecule: long non-coding RNA, 469 nt
Organism: Phragmites australis (common reed)
Lineage: Eukaryota; Viridiplantae; Streptophyta; Magnoliopsida; Poales; Poaceae
Exons: 6
Source: RefSeq, a predicted model, not a curated record